UCGCGACCCCAGUCAGCGGGACU
RNAcentral lists this ribosomal RNA (23 nucleotides) under Cestrum parqui (green cestrum). Its description in RNAcentral is "partial 25S ribosomal RNA". The record is from RNAcentral. Lineage: Eukaryota; Viridiplantae; Streptophyta; Magnoliopsida; Solanales; Solanaceae.